Long non-coding RNA from Eriocheir sinensis (Chinese mitten crab), 997 nucleotides. RefSeq lists it as uncharacterized. NCBI's taxonomy places the organism in Eukaryota, Metazoa, Arthropoda, Malacostraca, Decapoda, Varunidae. The record is from RefSeq and is a predicted model, not a curated record. The transcript has 3 exons.
GGAAGGGUUGGUAAUGGGACUGGUGGAUAGGGGAAGGAUUGGUAAUGGGACUGGUGGAUAGCGGAAGGGUUGGUAAUGGGACAGGUGAAUAGGGGAAGGGUUGGUAAUGGGACUGGUGGAUAGGGGAAGAAUUGGUAAUGGGACUGGUGGAUAGGGGAAGGGUUGGUAAUGGGACUGGUGGAUAGGGGAAGGAUUGGUAAUGGGACUGGUGGAUAGGGGAAGGAUUGGUAAUGGGACUGGUGGAUAGGGGAAGGGCUGGUAAUGGGACUGGUGGAUAGGGGAAGGGUUGGUAAUGGGACUGGUGGAUAGGGGAAGCAUUGGUAAUGGGACUGGUGGAUAGGGUAAGGGUUGGUAAUGGGACUGGUGGAUAGGGGAAGGGUUGGUAAUGGGACUGGUGGAUAGGGGAAGGAUUGGUAAUGGGACUGGUAGAUAGGGGAAGGGUUGGUAAUGGGACUGGUGGAUAGGGGAAGGGUUGGUAAUGGGACUGGUGGAUAGGGGAAGGGUUGGUAAUGGGACUGGUGGAUAGGGGACGGAUUGGUAAUGGGACUGGUGGAUAGGGGAAGGGUUGGUAAUGGGACUGGUGGAUAGGGGAAGGGUUGGUAAUGGGACUGGUGGAUAGGGGAAGGAUUGGUAAUGGGACUGGUGGAUAGGGGAAGGGUUGGUAAUGGGACUGGUGGAUAGGGGAAGGGUUGGUAAUGGGACUGGUGGAUAGGGGAAGGAUUGGUAAUGGGACUGGUGGAUAGGGGAAGGGUUGGUAAUGGGACUGGUGGAUAGGGGAAGGGUUGGUAAUGGGACUGGUGGAUAGCGGAAGGAUUGGUAAUGGGACUGGUUGAUAGGGGAAGGGUUGGUAAUGGGACUGGUGGAUAGGGGAAGGGUUGGUAAUGGGACAGGUGGAUAGGGGAAUGGUUGGUAAUGGGACUGGUGGAUAGCGGAAGGAUUGGUAAUGGGACUGGUGGAUAGGGGAAGGGUUGGUAAUAGGACUGGUGGAUAGGGGAAG